RNAcentral lists this ribosomal RNA (253 nucleotides) under uncultured bacterium. RNAcentral describes it as "partial 16S ribosomal RNA". It matches the Rfam family "Bacterial small subunit ribosomal RNA", at positions 524 to 776 of the family's 1533-position model. The record is from RNAcentral.
UACGGAGGGUGCAAGCGUUAUCCGGAAUCAUUGGGUUUAAAGGGUCCGCAGGCGGUCUUAUAAGUCAGUGGUGAAAGCCUACAGCUCAACUGUAGAACUGCCAUUGAUACUGUAAGACUUGAAUUCGAUCGAAGUGGGCGGAAUAUGACAUGUAGCGGUGAAAUGCAUAGAUAUGUCACAGAACACCAAUUGCGAAGGCAGCUUACUAAAGUGUGAUUGACACUGAGGCACGAAAGCGUGGGGAUCAAACAGG